Molecule: ribosomal RNA, 447 nt
Filed under: uncultured bacterium
Lineage: Bacteria
Description: bacterial SSU rRNA
Rfam family: Bacterial small subunit ribosomal RNA
Source: RNAcentral
AACGAACGCUGGCGGCAUGCCUAACACAUGCAAGUCGAACGAAGCCUUCGGGCUUAGUGGCGCACGGGUGCGUAACGCGUGGGAAUCUGCCCUUGGGUUCGGAAUAACAGUUAGAAAUGACUGCUAAUACCGAAUGAUGUCUUCGGACCAAAGAUUUAUCGCCCAAGGAUGAGCCCGCGUCGGAUUAGCUAGUUGGUGAGGUAAAGGCUCACCAAGGCGACGAUCCGUAGCUGGUUUGAGAGGAUGAUCAGCCACACUGGGACUGAGACACGGCCCAGACUCCUACGGGAGGCAGCAGUGGGGAAUAUUGGACAAUGGGCGAAAGCCUGAUCCAGCAAUGCCGCGUGAGUGAUGAAGGCCUUAGGGUUGUAAAGCUCUUUUACCCGGGAUGAUAAUGACAGUACCGGGAGAAUAAGCCCCGGCUAACUCCGUGCCAGCAGCCGCGGU